GCCUGGGUGGUGUAGCGGUAACAUAGGGGACUGUGGAUCCCCUGUCCCGGGUUCAAAUCCCGGCCCGGGCC
Molecule: transfer RNA, 71 nt
Filed under: Thermoplasmata archaeon
Lineage: Archaea; Methanobacteriati; Thermoplasmatota; Thermoplasmata
Also listed under: 1 other name
Description: tRNA-His
Rfam family: tRNA
About the family: Transfer RNA (tRNA) molecules are approximately 80 nucleotides in length. Their secondary structure includes four short double-helical elements and three loops (D, anti-codon, and T loops).
Source: RNAcentral